GGCCACAUAGUCCAACGGCAGGAGACGCUUCCCUCAAAAGGAAGACAGUGUCGGUUCGAAUCCGACUGUGGCUAC
This 75-nucleotide transfer RNA is filed under the name Streptomyces phage Tomas. RNAcentral describes it as "tRNA-Leu". It matches the Rfam family "tRNA". Rfam says of the family: Transfer RNA (tRNA) molecules are approximately 80 nucleotides in length. Their secondary structure includes four short double-helical elements and three loops (D, anti-codon, and T loops). Further hydrogen bonds mediate the characteristic L-shaped molecular structure. tRNAs have two regions of fundamental functional importance: the anti-codon, which is responsible for specific mRNA codon recognition, and the 3' end, to which the tRNAs corresponding amino acid is attached (by aminoacyl-tRNA synthetases). tRNAs cope with the degeneracy of the genetic code in two manners: having more than one tRNA (with a specific anti-codon) for a particular amino acid; and 'wobble' base-pairing, i.e. permitting non-standard base-pairing at the 3rd anti-codon position. Lineage: Duplodnaviria; Heunggongvirae; Uroviricota; Caudoviricetes; Stanwilliamsviridae. The record is from RNAcentral.